Molecule: ribosomal RNA, 600 nt
Filed under: uncultured bacterium
Lineage: Bacteria
Description: bacterial SSU rRNA
Rfam family: Bacterial small subunit ribosomal RNA
Source: RNAcentral
UUGCUACCUGAUUCAGCGGCGGACGGGUGAGUAAUGCCUAGGAAUCUGCCCGAUAGUGGGGGACAACGUUUCGAAAGGAACGCUAAUACCGCAUACGUCCUACGGGAGAAAGUGGGGGAUCUUCGGACCUCACGCUAUCGGAUGAGCCUAGGUCGGAUUAGCUAGUUGGUGAGGUAAUGGCUCACCAAGGCGACGAUCCGUAACUGGUCUGAGAGGAUGAUCAGUCACACUGGAACUGAGACACGGUCCAGACUCCUACGGGAGGCAGCAGUGGGGAAUAUUGGACAAUGGGCGAAUGCCUGAUCCAGCCACGCCGCGUGUGUGAAGAAGGUCUUCGGAUUGUAAAGCACUUUAAGUUGGGAGGAAGGGCAGUAAGCUAAUACCUUGCUGUUUUGACGUUACCAACAGAAUAAGCACCGGCUAACUUCGUGCCAGCAGCCGCGGUAAUACGAAGGGUGCAAGCGUUAAUCGGAAUUACUGGGCGUAAAGCGCGCGUAGGUGGUUCAGCAAGUUGGAUGUGAAAUCCCCGGGCUCAACCUGGGAACUGCAUCCAAAACUACUGAGCUAGAGUACGGUAGAGGGUGGUGGAAUUUCCUGUGU